RNAcentral lists this long non-coding RNA (6412 nucleotides) under Prunus persica (peach). RNAcentral's name for it is "long non-coding RNA (PPER_LNC002769)". Lineage: Eukaryota; Viridiplantae; Streptophyta; Magnoliopsida; Rosales; Rosaceae. The record is from RNAcentral.
UGGAAUAUAUGCGGAUAUUGAGCUGCACGUAGAAUAGAUAAGACACAGCUUUUAACGAGGUUCGGCUAUGCCUACGUCCUCGGAGAGCAACAGCAGUAACCUUUCACUAUAAAAUAAUAUGGCUACAAACUUAUUGUUUACAACAUAUGUGGCUCACUGAAUUUUCUCUCUUUUCUUUCUUUCUCUUCCUUUCUCUUUUUUUCUUCCUCUUCUUCUUUCCGUUUCUCUUCUUAUUUAUAGGCUGAAAUAAUCACUAUUCAUCACUAUUCAUCACUGUUCACCCGUGACAGACAAACUCUAUCAAAGCCGCCAAAUGAACAGUAAUGAACAGUAAUGAACAGUAUCAAAGCCGUCAAAUGAACAGUGAUGAACAGUAAUGAACAGUAAUGUGGGCUCCACAUCAAGACUUUUAUAACACUCCCCCUUGGAGACCACAUGACCCUAGAUUGGUUGCCUCAUUAAAACCUUGCUUGGAAAAACCCAGUGGGAAAAUCUAAGCGAAGGAAAAAGAGUACAACGUGCAUAUGUCCUAUGUUAGAGGACUCUUGAAUGCUCCCCCUGAUUUUGCAUGCUCCAACUUGAUUGCUUGCAGAGUUGUCGUAAUCCGAUGCCAUGUACUAACUUUUGGAAUGUAUAUUUCAGCAAUGAUUUAGUGAAGAGAUCUGCCAGGUUAUCACUUGAGCGGAUUUGUCUGACUUUGAUUUCUUGACUCUUCUGGAGCUCAUGUGUAUAGAAAAACUUUGGUGAUAUGUGUUUGGUCCUGUCGCCCUUGAUAUAUCCUCCUGUAAUCUGAGCAAUACAAGUGGCAUUGUCCUCAUUCAGAAUUGUUGGAGUGUCUGUUGUUGAGGGUAGGGCACAUGUGCUUCGGAUGUGAUGGAUUACCGAUCUUAACCAAACGCAUUCACGACUGGCUUCAUGGAGGGCAAGUAUUUCCGAGUGAUUGGAAGAUGUGGCCACUAAUGUUUGUUUUGUUGAACGCCAUGAGAUCGCAGUUCCUCCACAUGUAAAUACAUACCCAGUCUGUGAUCGUCCUUGAUGUGGAUCAGAGAGAUAUCCUGCAUCAGCAUAACCAAUAAUACUCUGGGCGUUGGUCGAUUCACUGGAAUAGAAUAACCCCAUGUCUGUUGUCCCACGAAGGUAUCGUAGAACAUGUUUGAUGCCGGUCCAGUGUCGCCUUGUUGGAGCAGAACUGUACCUUGCUAACAGAUUUACUGAGAAUGAUAUGUCUGGUCUGGUACAUUGUGCGAGGUACAAUAAAGCACCUAUUGCACUAAGAUAUGGUACUUCUGGACCAAGGACCAUUUCAUCAUUCCCUUUUGGACGAUAUGGGUCUUUCUUAGUGUCAAGCGAUCGAACGACCAUUGGAGUGCUAAGUGGAUGGGCUUUAUCCAUGCCAAACCGUUUCAAUACUUUCUCAGUAUAAGUUGAUUGAUGCACCAAAAUUCCAUUAGCACUGUGUUCAAUCUGCAAGCCAAGACAAUAUUUUGUCUUUCCAAGAUCCUUCAUCUCAAACUCACGUUUGAGAUAAUCAACAGUCUUUUGAAGCUCUGCAGAAGUUCCAAUUAGAUUCAUGUCGUCGACAUAUACUGCCACUAUCGCAAAUCCAGACUUUGAUUUCUUAAUAAACACACAUGGGCAAACAGGAUCAUUUGUGUAUCCUUCCUUCAGUAAAUACUUACUGAGACGAUUGUACCACAUUCGUCCAGAUUGUUUUAGCCCAUAUAAUGAUCUUCUCAAUUUAACUGAGAACAUGCCCCGUGGUGUGUUUCUGGCUGCUUCAGGCAACCUGAAUCCUUCUGGAACUUUCAUAUAUAUAUAUCUGUAUCCAAUUCUCCAUACAAAUAUGCGGUAAUAACAUCCAUGAGUCUCAUUUCAAGUUUUUCUGAAACCGCCAAACUUAUUAGGUAACGGAAUGUAAUUGUGUCCAUUACUGGAGAGUACGUUUCCACAUAAUCAAUUCCAGGCCUUUGUGAAAAACCUUGCGCAACGAGUCGCGCUUUAUACCUUGAGAUCUCAUUUUUCUCAUUGCGUUUUCUUGUAAAUACCCACUUGUAACCUACAGGGUUUACAUUGGGUGGAGUUGGACUAAUAUGUCCAAAAACACUCCUCUUUUCCAAAGAAUUUAAUUCUGCCUGGAUUGCAUCCUUCCACUUGGGCCAAUCUUGCCUCUGUGUACAUUCAUUAAUAGAGCGUGGUUCAAUAUCAUCAUUUUUUAUGAUUUCAGCAGCCACUGAGAAUGCAAAUAUAUCAUCGAUGAUCAUCUCAUUUCUACUCCACAAUUCAUUAGUGGACGUAUAAUUUAUGGAGAUUUCUUGACUUUCAGGUACGGUUGCCACUCCAGGGGCACUUGUUUCACCAAUGACUUUUUCCUUGUCAAGAAGUACCUGUCCCUCUUUGGGGGCAUUUGAAUUAUGAAUUGUGGGCUCUCUAUUUAUUUCAUGUGGAUUCAUUUUGUCCAUCAACUUCCUCUUUCGAGGAACUGAAUCCUUUGAGCCUAGUGGUCUGCCACGUUUUAGGCGUGCAGCAGAUGAACCAUUUGCUGGCACAUUGCUUUGUCCAUUAUGGACAUCAAUCCGUGCGGGUGCAUUUGCAGCUGGGAUAUGAGAUUUCGUCACCUGUGCUGCAUCAUUAAAUGCAUCUGACAUCUGAUUUGCAAUACUUUGGAGGUGAACGAUCCUUCUCACUCCGUUUUCGCAUUGAGCAGUAUGAGGAUCGAGAUGAGACAAUGUGGAUACAUUCCAGGAUAAUUCAUAUCGUUUUUCAGGAAUGAGUUUGCCUUGUUCUUUAGACACAGAUUUUUCUCCACCUAAAGGUGGAAAGAUUGUCUCAUCAAAAUCACAAUCCGCAAAUCGUGCGGUAAAAAUAUCACCCGUCAGGGGUUCCAAGUAUCUGAUGAUAGAUGGUGAAUCAACACCAACAUAAAUUCCCAAUCUGCGUUGAGGGCCCAUCUUAGUACGUUGCGAUGGUGCAAUAGGCACAUAUACCGCACACCCAAAGAUUCUUAAAUGUGAAAUGUUUGGUUGAUUUCCCAAUACAAGUUGUAUUGGAGAACCUUGAUUAUUGGCGAUUGGCCUCAAUCGCACAAGCGAUGCUGCAUGUAAAAUGGCAUAUCCCCAAGCAGAAACUGGCAACUUUGUUUUCAUUAGCAAAGUGCGUGCUAUCAAUUGAAGGCGUUUAAUUAAAGCUUCUGCCAAGCCAUUUUGAGUAUGCACAUGGGGAACAGGAUGUUCAAUAUCAAUGCCUAAUGACAUGCAGUAGUCAUCAAAAGUCUGAGAUGUAAAUUCACCAGCAUUAUCGAGUCUGAUUGACUUAAUGGGAUAAUCUGGGAAUUGGGCUCGUAAUUUAAUUAUCUGAGCCAAAAGCCUAGCAAAUGCCAUAUUCCGAGUAGAUAAAAGACAAACAUGUGACCAUCGGGUAGAUGCGUCCACCAAGACCAUAAAGUACCGAAAUGGUCCACAUGGGGGAUGAAUGGGUCCACAAAUGUCCCCUUGAAUUCUCUGCAAAAAUGAUGGAGACUCAACAUCAACCUUUGGUUGUGAUGGUCUGAUCACCAACUUCCCUUGUGAACAAGCUUGGCAAAAGAUGUCGCUUGAUAACAUAAUGUGUUUAGUCAACAAGGGAUGUCCUUUAGAGUUGGUGAUAAUCCUGCGCAUCAUGGUGGAUCCAGGAUGACCCAAUCUGUCAUGCCAAAGCUUAAAAGCAUUUGAGUCAGUAGACUCUUGGUCCAUGACACUAUGUGCCUCAAUUGUCCGUAUGGUUGUGUAAUACAACCCUGAUGAGAGCUCACAAAGCUUUUCCAGUAUACGCUUUUGGGUAUCACUGGAGGUAAUACAAAGAUAUUCCAUGUUUUCCUCUUUCUUUGUUUCAACAUGGUAGCCAUUCAAACGUAUAUCUUUGAAACUCAACAGAUUCCUUCUGGAGUUAGAUGAAUACAAAGCAUCUGGAAUGGACAAUAUUGUUCCAUUAGGUAACAUAAUUUGGGCUAUUCCUGAACCUUCGAUCAGAUCUGCAGGACCUGAUAUGGUUGUUACCUUUGCUUUUGUAAGUAUUAAUUUUGAGAAAUACUUCUGAUCUUGAAAGAUCGUAUGAGUAGUUGCGCUGUCUGCGAGACAAAUAUCUCUGCCAUAGCCUUUGUUUUGAGGGCAUCCAUAAUUUACAUCCAUGCCACCAAAUAAGUAAAAUGAGCUGGAAUAUAUAAAGAAGACAACAUUACCACUUUUAUUUAAACAACACUUCAGCUAAUACAAAUAGUACAUUAAGGAAUUUAAUCUAAUUCGGACUUAAUAAAGAAGACAGCAUUACCACUUUUAUUGGAUUGAAAUUUAAACAACACUUCAGCUAAUACAAAUAGUACAUUAAGGAAUUUAAUCUAAUUCGGACUCAUAACCUUCAUUCCCUUUUUCAGUAACAAAAUCAGAAACAUCUAGAUGCGUCUUGUUUAGCUUACGUGAUAUUUCUGAUGAGCCAUCUGUGGCUGGCGGAGCAUGAUCAAUGUAAUUUAUCUCCACUUUCCUGUUCUUAAGUGAAGCUUGAUAGAGAUCCGCCAAAUGCCUGGGUGUACGACAUGCGCGCAUCCAAUGUCCCCUUGCACCACAUCUGUGACAAGGGCUUUCAACAUUUCUAGGCACAUGGCUCAUCUGUGCCUUUCCCUUAUUACGGGAUGCAUUUUUGCCAUUCAUGGAUGGACCGCUCCUUGGACCUAAGCCCUCUGAACGAGCACCAUGAUUUUUUCUACUCCAUUGCCAGUGGCCACGCUUGCCCCCUCGCCCACGUUUGUGGAUACUGCCACGAGAUGAAGUGGCAUUCACUUCCUGAGAUGCAGCAUUUAUUUCAGGAAGUGGUGCUGAGCCCGUUGGGCGAGAUUGGUGAUUCUUUAAUAAGAGCUCAUUAUUCUGCUCAGCUAACAAGAGGCAAGAGACAAGUUCCGAGUACUUCUUGAAACUGCUAUGUCUGUAUUGCUGUUAAAGGAGGACAUUUGAAGCAUGAAAAGUGCUCAGAGUUUUUUCGAGCAUAUCCUCCUCAGAUAUAUUUUCCCCACAUAGCCUCAUUAAUGAGGUAAUUCUGUGCAUAGCAGAGUUAUACUCGGACACUGACUUGAAAUCUUGAAAUCUCAAGUGGGUCCAUUCGUAUCUAGCUCUUGGGAGAGUCAUCGUCUUCUGGUGAUCGUAUCUUUCACCUAUAGCUUUCCACAGAACCAACGGUUCAUCAACCACCACAUAUUCGCUCUUCAGCGCUUGAUGGAUGUGGCGGCGAAGAAAAAUCAUGGCCUUCGCAUUCUCUUCAGGCGAAGCAUCAUUCUCAUCUACAAUUGUUUGUCCGAGGCCAUUGGCUCGUAGAUGAAUUUUGGCAUCCAGGACCCAUGAUAAAUAGUUGUCCCCGGAAAGGUCCAAGGCAGCAAACUCUAGUUUUGCCAAAUUUGCCAUCCAAAACUUUAGGCUCGAGAUCUGGAAUAUUAAGCCACUUAUUAAUAGGAAUUUCAGGUCCUCAUUAUUCAGGUAUAUUAAUUGAAUAUUAAGCCACUUGUUAAUAGGAAUUUCAGGUCCUCAUUAUUCAGGUAUAUUAAUUGAAUAUUAAGCCACUUAUUAAUAGGAAUUUCAGGUCCUCAUUAUUCAGGUAUAUUAAUUGAAGAUAAAAGUAAAGUGUUAUGAAUUUGCUGGUAUGGACGAUAAACCCGCACCAUACUUUAAAUAAAAUUAAAUGUGGGGUUAAAACCACCAACGAAUAAAAUAAGAAAAGUUAGUAUUAGUAACGGUCUCCCACUGAUAAUAUGUUUAGUAUUACCAAGGGUCCAUUUUUGUUAAUGGUUAGUAAAUGUGCGGUAAAGUAAAUGUGCUUGUAUGAGCACUAAUUCUGCUCCAUUCAUUUAAAUAAAAGUAAAGGCGUGGACGAUAAACCCGCACCACCCUUUAAAUAAAUAUUGCCGUAUGGGUAAUAAGCCUACACCAUACCAUAAAUAAAAUUAAAUGUGGGGUUAAAACCACCACCGAAUAAAAUAAGAAAAAAUUAGUAUUAGUAACGGUCUCCCACUGAUAAUAUGUUUAGUAUUACAAAAGGUCCAUUUUUGUUAAUGGUUAGUAAUAGAGAAGCAGAUAGAUAUAGUAUAAUAUAUAGUGUUGAGUUGGAAAAAUUUCAGAAAUAAAAGGAGAGAUUAUCGUGCUGAUAACGUGUUAUAAAAUAACCUGGAAUAUAUGCGGAUAUUGAGCUGCACGUAGAAUAGAUAAGACACAGCUUUUAACGAGGUUCGGCUAUGCCUACGUCCUCGGAGAGCAACAGCAGUAACCUUUCACUAUAAAAUAAUAUGGCUACAAACUUAUUGUUUACAACAUAUGUGGCUCACUGAAUUUUCUCUCUUUUCUUUCUUUCUCUUCCUUUCUCUUUUUUUCUUCCUCUUCUUCUUUCCGUUUCUCUUCUU